This 253-nucleotide ribosomal RNA is filed under the name uncultured bacterium. RNAcentral describes it as "partial 16S ribosomal RNA". It matches the Rfam family "Bacterial small subunit ribosomal RNA", at positions 524 to 776 of the family's 1533-position model. The record is from RNAcentral.
UACGUAGGGACCAAGCGUUGUUCGGAUUUACUGGGCGUAAAGGGCGCGUAGGCGGCGUGGUAAGUCACUUGUGAAAUCUCUGAGCUUAACUCAGAACGGUCAAGUGAUACUGCUGUGCUAGAGUGCGGUAGGGGCAAUCGGAAUUCUUGGUGUAGCGGUGAAAUGCGUAGAUAUCAAGAGGAACACCUGAGGUGAAGACGGGUUGCUGGGCCGACACUGACGCUGAUGCGCGAAAGCCAGGGGAGCAAACGGG